Long non-coding RNA from Paramisgurnus dabryanus, 259 nucleotides. RefSeq lists it as uncharacterized. NCBI's taxonomy places the organism in Eukaryota, Metazoa, Chordata, Actinopteri, Cypriniformes, Cobitidae. The record is from RefSeq and is a predicted model, not a curated record.
GCAGUUAACAACCAGGAACAGAAGCUGGCAGAAACACAACAAUUGCUGGACAGUUUGAAGACAUCAGUCUCAAAUCAACAAAAUAAACAAUGUGACUGUGACUCACUGUCAAGCUCACUAAGAGAUGUUCACAGUUCAAUGUCUAAUCUGACUUCAUCUGUCGUGUCUCUUUCAUCUAAACAACAGAUCACUGAAGAGAGACUCAUAAGCAGUUUAAAUGAACUGAAAGCCCAGAUUAACAACAAAUCAUCAUCAGGUA